Molecule: long non-coding RNA, 2822 nt
Filed under: Apteryx rowi (Okarito brown kiwi)
Lineage: Eukaryota; Metazoa; Chordata; Aves; Apterygiformes; Apterygidae
Description: lncRNA (ENSARWG00000011620.1)
Source: RNAcentral
CACCGCGCUGACCUCGCUGGAGCAGACUCGCGCCUACCUCCUGGCCGACGGGACCUGCAAGUGCGGCCUCGAGUGUCCGCUCAACAUGCACAAGGUACGGGGACCCUCCCCGGGCGGGGGGGAGACGGACGCCCCCUGCUUUCGGGGGGGUCCCUGCGGAGGAGCCGGCAGCCGUUCUCAGCCUGCGCCGUCCCCGCAGGUGUUUAACUUCGACCCGGGGGCGGCGGUGGCCGGGCGAGGGGCCCCCGGGGCCCAGGGCCAGCAGGACAUGACCAAACUCUGCAACCACCGCCGGAAAACGGUGGCCAUGGCCACGCUGUACCGCAGCAUGGAGGGCGCCCCGGGCCCCGGCUCCCGCCGCCCCGGCACAGGUAACCGGCCCCGGGUCCCCUGUCCCUGCCACCGCCCGGGUCCCUCCUGGUGUCCCCAACCUGUCCUGGUUGUCCCUGUCCAUCUGGGCUCCCCCCACCCAUCCCAAUCCCUCCCAGUUUCCCUGCGGCGCACCCCAGGUGUCCCAGAGCUCUCCCAUCCUCCCCAUUCCAUCCUCGCUCCCCGGUUCCCCCCAGUUGGUGCCCACUGACCCCUGCGUGGUUCCCUGCAGGUCCCGGCUUGAGCCCGCUGUUCCCGGCAGGGGGGCGCCCGGCCGUGCCCCCCGGCGUCCCCCCGCCCAGCGCCGUCGGCAGCUUCCCCAGAGCCCCCACGAGGGCAAAGACCCCCGAGGCCGCCCCCGCGGGGGACCGGCUUGUCCCCCCACCCUUCCCGCGGCCCCGUGACGUCUUCCCGGGGGCCAACGGCAGUCCCGAGAGCCGCCCGCCGCCACCGUCCCCCCGCUUCGGCCGCCGCCUGCCCCCGCCGGACGCGGCGGCGGCCCCCAGGCCUCCCGCCGAGGACGCCCGGAGCCACCGUCCCGUGGGCAGGACUAGCGCCCGUGCCGCUCCGUCGCCGGUGGGGGCCGGAGAAAGCCCGGAGCCCGGGGGGCCGGGGCUGGGGCCGUGCCCGGCGGCUGCCAACGGCACCCCCCAGGCGGGCAAGGACGAUUCCCCCAUCAGCGGUGCCUUAACCAACCAAAGCAGCAAUAACCUGCCAGUGCCCUUAGACGCUGCCCCCGAGGGCCGGGGCUUUUUGGGGCUGCCGCUGGGCCAGCUCCUGGCGCCGCCGGCGGGCACCCCCUUCCCGGCGAGCAGCCUGCUGAGYGCCGCCGCCAAGGCCCAGCUGGGCGGCCCCGACCCCGCGCCCCCCCCUAGCACUUUACCCCCCCGCCCGCUCGCCCCCGACGUGCUGCUCUCGGUCGCGGGCGAGCGGAGCCUGGGCAAGGCGGCCCGGCGGCCCCGGCGCCUGCACCCCGAGGACCCGGCGGCCCGCAGGGCGCCCCCCGCCCCGGGCGCCAAGCCCAAGGGGCUGCCGGCACCCGGGCAGCCCCUCGCGGCCCUGUUGAGCCUGCUGGGUGCUCAGGGCGGCCCCGGGGGGCACGGCGGCCCCCCAGCCCCCCCGCCUGCCGGGGACGGCGGCGCGCCCUGCCCGGGCACUGGGCUCCUGCCUGCAUGCCAGGACUUCAACAGCCAGCUCCUCGGCCUCUUCGGGCAGCUGGCGGCCUCGUCUGAAGCCACCUCAGGGACCCCCCCGCAGCCAAAACACAGCGCCCCAGGUGCCGCGACGUCUCCAGCCAUCACCAAAGGCCCCCCGGCCUUGGGGGCCAGCAGCGGCGGGGAGGAGGCCGCCGGAGGAGCGCUGGGCUGCCCGCUGCCCCCCGCUGCCGCCGCCGAGCCCGUGGCCUUUGUGGGGCAGGAGCAGGCGCUGGCCCUGGGCAGCUCGCUGCCGCCAGGGCUCCUCCUGGGCACCCUGCCCUUCUCGGUGGCCCUGGGCCAGCACCCGCCGGCGCCCGGCGGGGCCCCUGAGGGGCCGAGCCUGCCCUCCCUGCUGGCGGCCUCCCUGCUGCCGGGGCAGCCCCCGGUGCCCUUGCUGCCCCUCGGCAUCCCCCUGCCCGCCCUGGACCUGCUGCCGGCGCCGGGGACGCUGCUCUCGGCCCUGCUGCCACUGGCACCGGCGGGCGAGAAGGGCGCCGAGGCGGCAGCGGCGGCGGCCGCCGGCCCCGAGGGCUACCCGGCGCUGCCCGACGCGCCGCUGCUCUUCUCCGCGCUGCCCGCCUCGCUCGCCCUCGACCCCGCGCUGCUGGCCGCUGGGCUGGGCCCCCCCGAGAGCACCCCCGGCACCCCCCCGGUGAGACUCGGCCCCUGGGACGGGGUUGUUUGCCCCCCCCCCUCCCCGGGGAGGAGGGUAGUAGGGAGGGAUUUGCCCCCUAGGGAGGAGGGGGAUGGUGGCUGGGGGUAUUUACCCCCAGCAAAACACACGGGGGGGAGUGUGUUUGCCCCUGGAGAAGAAGGGGGGAUAUUUGCCCCCAGGGCAGUGGAAGGGGGAGUAUUUGCCCCAGGGAGAAAGGCAAGGGAGGGUAUUUCCCCCCCCCCUCCCCCCCAGGGCACGGAAAUGGGUAUUUGCCCCUGAGAAGAGAGAGGUGAAAGGUGUUUGCCCCCAGGGCAUGGCAGAGGAGGAGUAUUUGCCCCUGGGGAGGAAGGUUGGGGGUAUUUACUUGCCCCUGGGUCCUGGAAAGCAGGGUAUUUGCCCCAGGGAGGGGGGUCCGGGAGGGUGUUUGCCCCCCCCUCCUGGGAGAGGAGGAGGCCGGGCUGGUUUUGCCCCCGGCGGGGACGGGCUGAGGGUGUCUCUGCCCCCAACUCGCCCCCUUUGCCUGCAGUCCGGCCUCGCCAGCCCCCCCGCGGCACCUACCUCGACCGGCGCCCCCCCCACGACUACUGAGGCCCCGCGCGGGG